AUUGAACGCUGGCGGCAGACUUAACACAUGCAAGUCGAGCGGAGUGAUGGUGCUUGCACUAUCACUUAGCGGCGGACGGGUGAGUAAUGCUUAGGAAUCUGCCUAUUAGUGGGGGACAACAUCGCGAAAGGGAUGCUAAUAACGCAUACGUCCUACGGGAGGAAGCAGGGGCUCACUUGUGACCUUGCGCUAAUAGAUGAGCCUAAGUCGGAUUAGCUAGUUGGUGGGGUAAAGGCCUACCAAGGCGACGAUCUUUAGCGGGUCUGCGAGGAUGAUCCGCCACACUGGGACUGAGACACGGCCCAGACUCCUACGGGAGGCAGCAGUGGGGAAUAUUGGACAAUGGGGGGAACCCUGAUCCAGCCAUGCCGCGUGUGUGAAGAAGGCCUUAUGGUUGUAAAGCACUUUAAGCGAGGAGGAGGCUUACCUAGUUAAUACCUGGGAUAAGUGGACGUUACUCGCAGAAUAAGCACCGGCUAACUCUGUGCCAGCAGCCGCCGUAA
RNAcentral lists this ribosomal RNA (503 nucleotides) under uncultured bacterium. RNAcentral's name for it is "partial 16S ribosomal RNA". It matches the Rfam family "Bacterial small subunit ribosomal RNA", at positions 30 to 523 of the family's 1533-position model. The record is from RNAcentral.